Molecule: RNA transcript, 4770 nt
Organism: Triticum urartu
Lineage: Eukaryota; Viridiplantae; Streptophyta; Magnoliopsida; Poales; Poaceae
Source: RefSeq, a predicted model, not a curated record
UACAAGAUUCAUCCAACAGCCGACCCACUCGCGCACGUCCCACACCCCUAUCUCCCCCAACCCCCAACCCCCUCUCGAUCCCAUCUCUCUCGCAAAUUUUUUUUGGCAACGCCGGCCUCCUCUUUCAUCUCCCAUGACGACCAUAGGAAAGGGUAGGUAGAUCCAUCUCGCCCACUUCUUCCUGCCGUCGCCAUCAUCCUCCAGUCGUCCAUGCUAGCUUCCGCAGCCCGUCGUACUCAUCGCAGGUGGCGGCGGCCAUUGGCAAGGGCUCGUUUGGAAGAGCAGGUGGCGUACAAGGUCGCGUUGAGGUCCAACGACCGGAAUAUUGGCUCCGUAGAGAACGCCGUCACAGGUGCGUCGAUCUCAAUCUUCUCCUCCAUUGCCGUUGUCUUCAUUACCUGUGCGUGUAGCAGGUGUGCUCUCACACUCACGAAUUUUCAGUACGUGAUGGGUUCUUUCUAAUUCAGAUCUUGCUUGCCUUAUCGUGAUAUCUUCUUUGCCAUGGUAAGCACACUAGAAGCCUCAUAACUUUUGUUAUGACAUUAUUAAUGUUGUUUAGAAAGCAGUUUUAGUGAAGAUCGAAUGGUUUUUAGAUUAAGUAGAAAAUAAAGGAGUACUCUUCUGUAGUGUAUUGUUGUUCAACUGAGACAUAUGCAGUGUGUUUGAUGGCCGCAGGAUAAUUAAAGCCAAGGUAACGACUAUACAUUCACAAUUCCUAUAGUUAUAAACAAGAAAAAAAAGAUAUAGGCAAGUACUAUUGUUUUAGAUGCCGGUAAAAUGGACUAGAAUUUCAUGAGCUGUUUAGUCAGCAUGCUACCGCUCAUCAGUGGCGGAGGACCAAAUUUUUUCGAGGUAGGGCAGCCGAUACUACAGCACGUGAGACUUCCUCGCUGCUGGCCUCUAGCGCCACGGCUUGCGCCUCGACCGUCCAGUUUGGCAUCCGGUACCAGCACUCCCGCUGCCUGCUGCUAGCCGCUAGCCCGCCGGGAUUCGUGCGUGGUAUGCGCCUGAGCUCGUGGUUUGUGUUCUGUUGUUCCUGUUCGUACCUUCGUGAUGACUGGUCCGGUACGUCGUGUGUGUGUGUGUGUCGUAUGUGCAGCUAUCAGGCAAGGGCAUGACCCAAGUCACAGCCCAACAUCAAAGAGAACUCUUCCUUUCAGUUACUUAUUGCACCUGUCAUCUGUCGAUCGAGCGUGUUUGCCGGAAAUAAAGGUUCCGCCGGUGCUACCACUAAUAUCCUUGUACUGUAGUAGCUUCAGUAUUUCUCCCACUUUUUCUGCUACAUGUGUAAAUGUAGUUACAAUUGAGAAAGCGAGAAAUAUUUGUUUUGUGAAAAAAAUUGACAUAUCUUUGUUAUCUGGAUAUCAAAUUUAUUGCAAAUUUUGCUGAAUGCAUCUUCAUUUGAGAAAAUGUGGACGGCCACAGGAGAAACAUAAACUUUGUCAUAUAAAGUUGGAAGUGUUUAACUGCUCAAACUUUCUACUUUGCAAACAAAUAAAGUGAUGCAAGGUAUUCAGAUGUCUACGGUUGAUGAGAAUUUACAUUGAGUUCAGCAUUAAAGUAUUUAAUUGUUGCUUUUGUGAUUGCUACUGUUUCAUGGUUUCAGAAACAUGUCUAUUGUGGACUGUUUCAUAGCUUAUCUUUUCCAAUCUUUUAUCUACAUAUAUCUACCUCAUGUUAAUGCACUAUCAAAAUUGUCUCAUUAAUUCUUGUCACUUUCUCAAAUAAAAAUUAUCCUUUGCCUGGCAUGCCCCUAAUUAUAUAAACCCUGUCAAAAUUCUAAAUCUUAUUUCAUAUGCAGAACUCGAAGAAUUUCAAGAAAGAUCAUUGCUUCAAGGUUGGCAGCGGCCACAACAUAAUUGACAUCAAAACUAGAUUUGGGUCCUACAUAUCCGGUCUUGCUCGGUUAUAUUACUUUUUUCCAUUCCGUUAUAUACCUAUGUAUAUGAUUGGUUUGCUACAUGAGGUAGCAACGAAAUCACCUGAUACAAGGUCAAACUAAGUUUCUAUUCCUACAAUACUAGCUACUAGCCAACAAUAUGUGUUUAUGACUCUCAUCACAGAGUGAUUAAUCAUAGUAAACUAUGUGCCAGCUUAUGUGAGUCCAAUCGAUCUAUCUUUUACUGGCAUUACCCAUUGUGUAGAUUGGGAUUAUCUGCACCAACCUUCAUAGACUCCCAAAACUAUCCUAGGAUUAUCAGUUUCUCAAACAAUUGAAGUUGCAGCCUAUGUGAAAUCUUUAUUGCCUGAUAUGGUAGCACUAACUAUUUUUCUUUAUUUUAUGAAUCACAGUCUAAGGGCUCAAAAGCAGUUGACCAUUACCUGUCACAGUAUACAAAACACCUAUCUAAUAUUGGGGGAAAUGUAUGUAUUUUCUCAAGCAGCUAUGUGGAUAUAGGUCUUGCUGAAAAUUUGUAACUGAGCUUGUAAUCUUAACAAUUGUUGUGGAACAGUCAGCUGAUAUGUUCAUAUGUGAAUCAUCCACCCAAUUAGCUACAAUGCUUUCCAAGGCCAGUACCAUACCAACAUUGGAGCCAAAAGAGCAUGUGGUAACAUCAAAUGCCAAAUUGGAGACAUACAUAGGGUAUGAAAAUUUACGCAGAAGAGAAGGGCCCAUCACUCCAGAGUCUAGGAAAGUUGGGUAAAUGUAAUCUUUUUAUGGAAAAAUGCAAAACCAGUCAGCCAUCAUCCCUAACAGAGGGGCUAGCGCUCUUUAUCUCUAAUGUAUAAUCCUUUUAUUUGGCGUUAUUGCCAUGCCGCUAUAGCUAGUCUUUUGCUGUUCUCCUUUUCUUGUAACCAGUUGUACUUGGUUUUCUCUAUCCUCAUAUCAAUGAAAAUGCAGCGUUGAUUAUGUUUCAUCAAGAAAAUGUACUCCCUCCGUUCUGAGCGCUUCAAGUAGAUCUUAGUUAAUACUCCCUCCGAUCUAUAAUAAGGUUUGAACUAAAAGCACGACACUUAUUAUGGAUCAUAGGGAGUACAAGAUAAUCAGAUAGAUACCUGUCCUAUGCGUAUGCCAUGUCCAACUAUAUUAUUCUAUGAGUACAUUUGAAGCGAAAUCAAAUUUAUUGUUUUUGGAAUAUUACAUGUCUAUAUUUCCUAUAUUUGCGUGAUCUUUGACAUGCCUUAUGUCUGCACUAUAUGAGAUGAUGAAAAGCAUAAGGAGUUGUGGCAACGCACGGGCAGUCAACUAGUCUACUAUUAAAUCUACUAUUAAAGCAGAAUCGAACGUCGUGAUGGUUCGACCUCCUUUCAUCCUUUCCACGAGAGAUCCCGCGCCGAAAAAAUCGCUAGGAAAAGAUCGGGCUCGCUUCCGCCCCUCUCUCGCUUCAUGCGUUGAAAACUGAAAAAUAAAAACGAAAAACUGAAACACCCGCGUCCCACGACCACGUCUUCUCCCAACCUCCUCGAUCUCGAACCCCUCCAUCUCUUGAGUCGUGACGCACCCACGAUCCACCCAAGCAUCUCCUAAUCCACUCCCACAAUCCCCCAAAGACAUAGUCUCCCUCCCCCACCUUCCUCACUAAAGGGGGCAUCUAGCUAUGAGCACGAGGAGGGCAAGCGAAGGUGAGAGGUGCUCGUGGCAGAGUAUGGGGAGGUGCGGCGCGGAUUGCUGCUCGCAAUCCUGCCACAGGGGAGAUUCCCGGUAGCCACCACGCAGCUCUCGCUCCUCGUCGCGACUGCGUUGGUUGUGAUGUGCCCGGCCCAUGCGUCCAUACCGUGUGGCUUUCUCCUCCAUUGUCGUUCGCGGGCAGUGGAUCGUUCGCGCUUUGCCAUCGACUCGUCCUCCCUGCUCUCGCUCAGCCGCAUCGUAUUCGGGAUCACCGGAUUGACACACCUCUGGCCCUGCUCUGAGUGCAUCCGCCUAUGGUGGGAUCCCGCCUUUGUGGGUGGCCAUGUCUGCUUUACGCUGACACGCUGUCGUUUGGCUCGCAGUGCCUUCUCUCUGUACAGAGGUGAGGAGCUGCCCAUCUCUGUACUAUGAGAUGUCGCCCUGCUAUCCCCCUGUUCCGCCAAUGACAAUGUCUCCCCUGGCCGCCUGUCCCGCCCUUCCUUCAAAUCGAGCCACUGCAGUCUGAAAGCGGGCUCAGUUUGCAUAGUCCUCGCCAAUGACCAUAUCAGAGCCUGGAUAUAAGUAAACUUCUGCUUGUAGGAAUCCUGUUAGAUACAAACAACCUUUCAAAGAUGUGAUCAGAAAAAGAUUCAGAGGUAGUGCGAUUGCUCUUGUUCGGUAGCUCUGAGCAUAAGAGGCACGGAUUAUUUCAACAAUGUAAUGUACUACUCUUCAUCUGACAUUGAUUUACAUGCAGAACAUGUAUGGAUAAGUUGCAAAAUCUUUUAAUAAUAACAGUUGGCAACUUUGACAUUUCUUUCGACCAGUGAUGCUUACUCACAAUGAUCAUUCUUUCUUCGAGUUCUUGGAGAACACCUAUAGAAAGUCAUCCACGGAUGAUUUUAUAGGUGUAGAAAGAGUUUGUGCGAGAGACCGAGAGUGCAAGAGCGCCGGUGGUACAAGUUGGACGCAUGGAAGAUUUCAGCUCGUAAUAUUUGCUUCGAAUUGUACACAAAGGUUCUUUAUUUUGUUAACCCGAAUAGAUAUUCCAGGGAAUGUCAUUCCAUUUUUUAUAUGAUCAUACGCCAUUCUUCUACUGCUGCAGUGCAUCUCUUAUAAGCGACACUGAUUAAACUGUUAUGAGCAUCCUUUACUUUGCUGUAGUUUUCCUUGUGAAAUGCUUUCCCUAUAAAGAAUUUGAAUGACCAGUGGAGUACUUU